RNAcentral lists this ribosomal RNA (605 nucleotides) under uncultured Methanobrevibacter sp. RNAcentral describes it as "bacterial SSU rRNA". It matches the Rfam family "Archaeal small subunit ribosomal RNA", at positions 315 to 921 of the family's 1478-position model. Lineage: Archaea; Methanobacteriati; Methanobacteriota; Methanobacteria; Methanobacteriales; Methanobacteriaceae. The record is from RNAcentral.
UCCAGGCCCUACGGGGCGCAGCAGGCGCGAAACCUCCGCAAUGUGAGAAAUCGCGACGGGGGGACCCCAAGUGCCAUUCUUAACGGGAUGGCUUUUCUUAAGUGUAAAAAGCUUUUGGAAUAAGAGCUGGGCAAGACCGGUGCCAGCCGCCGCGGUAACACCGGCAGCUCUAGUGGUGGCCAGUUUUAUUGGGCCUAAAGCGUUCGUAGCCGGUUUAUUAAGUCUCUGGUGAAAUCCCGUAGCUUAACUAUGGGAAUUGCUGGAGAUACUAGUAGACUUGAGGUCGGGAGAGGUUAGAGGUACUCCCAGGGUAGGGGUGAAAUCCUGUAAUCCUGGGAGGACCACCUGUGGCGAAGGCGUCUAACUGGAACGAACCUGACGGUGAGGGACGAAAGCUAGGGGCGCGAACCGGAUUAGAUACCCGGGUAGUCCUAGCCGUAAACGAUGCGGACUUGGUGUUAGGAUGGCUUUGAGCCGCUCUAGUGCCGAAGGGAAGCUGUUAAGUCCGCCGCCUGGGAAGUACGGUCGCAGACUGAAACUUAAAGGAAUUGGCGGGGGAGCACCACAACGCGUGGAGCCUGCGGUUUAAUUGGAUUCAACGCCGG